Long non-coding RNA from Gambusia affinis (western mosquitofish), 5898 nucleotides. RefSeq lists it as uncharacterized. Lineage: Eukaryota; Metazoa; Chordata; Actinopteri; Cyprinodontiformes; Poeciliidae. The transcript is spliced from 3 exons. The record is from RefSeq and is a predicted model, not a curated record.
UUUUUUAUUUUUUAGAUUUAAUUUUUUUACUCAGCCUAUUGGUCAGGUAUGCCGGCUGGAAAUAGUUUUGAAAAUUUAGAAGCAGGAUGAUUUGUUCUGUCUGCUAAAUGACAAAAAGAUCAAAGUUGGGGCUCUUAAAUCAACAUGUUUUGAGAUAUUCAGAAAUCAAGCUGACAAAAAUUAUGGCAGUUAAAACAUAUUUUUUGUUAUAAUCUUUACAGCAGAUUAAAAGGCUACACUUGGAAAGAAUUAAAAACAAUAAGUUGCUUGUUGAUGCUGUCUUUGCAAUCACAAAUAUGAAAUAAAUACAGUUUUACAAUAUUAAUUUGGGAAGAGGAAGCGCUUGGGAACCACUGCCUUGGACAAGCUCUUUAAUACAUAAAUAAUAAUUUUAAAAAAAUAAAAUAAAGGUUUUACUCAACUGAACCUUUUGUUUUAAACCAACUCAGACAUUUAAAACACAAGCGGUUUGCGUCUGUUUCAUGAAUAUCGAAAACACCCAGAGUUCCCCUUCAGAGCAGGAUUAAAAUGUCCUGUCCUCUUUUCUAGUUGUACGCAGUUCUGUUCAGCCUUAUCUCAGCUGAUAAGAAGCUCAUUUUUCAGCACAAAACAAAAAGAACCUUCUGUUACUUUACAGGACGUUUUGUAAUCUGCUGUAAGAACUGUAAUGAGCUGGCCUUAAGUUAGUAACCUCAUCUUGUGAAAACCCUCUAUAGAAACAAACUGACGUGGGACAUUAGCUGCUGUUCAGACGGUACUCUGCUUGUUAAUGAGAUCUGUUGAUGCGUCUCCAAACUCUUAAUUAAUUUGUAUUAAAAAAAGAAAGAAAAAAAAAAGAUCCAAUUUGAGUGUGGGAAAACAGUUUGCACCAAAAAGCUGGUUUUACUUUUUAAGGGGGAACUAAGGCUGCAUCAGAAGUUUGAUUACAACCAAAUUAUCACAUCUUAAGUAAAAUAGAACAUUUUUGGCGACAGACUUCAACUAUUUGUCUUUAAAUAACCAAAUUUUCUGCAUUUUCUCUUCCCAAGACCAAAUGUAGCAGCUUUUACUCAGAAGCUGAACAUGCUGCAUCCAAAUCUACUUUUGAAAUUAAUGUUUUCAAAGAAAGACUGACCUAAAUCCUGACGUUACUGCUCAGAAAUGAAUGUUUUACAUCUAUAAUGACUCCCCUUUCCAACAACAAAUCUGCUUUAUUUGUUUAAUUAAAGUAUUGCUUACUUAGUUUUCUGUAGAGUCGGUACAUAUGUGUCAAACUCAAGGGUUGGGGGCCAAAUCCGGCCUGCCAUAGCUUUUUGAGGCCCACUAGCUUCUAAACCUACAUAAAAUUAACCUUCAAUGUAACAUUUGUGUGCUGAUACUGAUAUUAUUUUACCAAUCAAAACAAAGCAGCUUUUAUGUAUUUACUGCCAAAUUACUUCAAUGUGAAAAGAAGUUCAGUGUUAUUUCGCUUUAAGAAGUACUUAUUGAUUGAAGAGACAGCUAUUCAUUCAUAUCGUAACAGUUUGUUAAUGGAUUUUAUCAUUAUUUUCUACAUCUAGCGGUCGUUUGAGGAUAUUAAUGAUCUGAUACGGCCAAAAAUGAAAAUUAGUGACUACCUUUGGUGGAAAAACAUUUUUUGUGCCUCUCAAAUCUUUUUAACUUGAUGAUUUUUGGUCCAUGUGACUAAACGUUUCAAUUUAGCAUAUUUAAAGGUUGUUUAACAUUCAAUGAAAGCGUCUUCUAAUUAUCACAGACAAGCAAAAACUUAAUCUGUCUUGCAGAAAGAGCAGCGGCUUCUCUGCUGCAGAUAAAGCUUCUGGACGCCACGGAAACCACCCAGAUAAUCCGGCCUGUGUGUUUAUCGGCCCCAGCAGGAGGGACAACACACACACACACACACACACUGACCAGGAGUCACCGGGUCCCACCUAACCCGGGCCCUUUCUGAGGAACACGCACAUCAUUCCCAGAGUAAAUUACUGGAUUUUUGUCUCAACCCUACAGGAGAGGAAGUGUGAUAAAUGACACUGACCUUACAGGAGCGCAUUAAGAAUACGGAGGGUAUUUCCAUACUAAUGACUCGGUUUCAGAGGAAGGGGCAUUCAUCAGUGCCGCUUGAAAAGUCAGCAUACCUGGAGGAAACCUCCUCCCUGUUCCGCUAAAUCGCCCCGAAGCCGUUUUAGCUAGCAGCUCCACAAACUUUCUCCAGCCUGAAUCCUGUUUUCUGUUUAUUGGGGGAGUAGAGCUGAAAACCUUCAAGUAAGACGACUUGAUUCCUCCAGGAAGAAGAAGAAGAAGAAGAAGAAACGGUUUAUUUUUAAACGCACGUGAACAAACUGUCAGCGAUUAAAGACAAAACGCAGCAGGAAACGCACUCCAUCACAGCUCAGCCGUGAUUUGACGCCGCGAACGUGACGAGGAUGAGAAUGCCUUCCUCCUCAUCCCGCAACCUGGCUGAGGACACGGGAAAAAAAAGAGAAAGAAAGAAACACGACAGCUUUAAUAAGUCAGAUAACGCCACAUCAACUGACAUAUAGAAGUAUUAAAUUCCAAACAGCGAACCCUUUGCACAUAAAUCCAGCAGAGAGGAGAUCCGGAGGAGUGAAGAGAUGCUGAAUGUUAGAUUUAUUUCCACAUGGGGAGAUAAAGGUCUUAGUGGCUUUAUGAAGGAACGUUGUCUUGGCUGACUGUCGGGAUUCUUCUGAUUAGAGUGCAGCCAAGAAAGGUCAAAGGCCACAGCAAGACAGAAAAAUGGAAAACAGUGUGGCUGAGUACACAGAGGAAUUCAUUUAGGCUACAUUACGACCAUGUAUUACGCUGAAACCUUAAAUGAUAGACCUACACAAAUUAGUGCAUAACUGUGAAAUGGAAGGGAAACAUUUAGUUAAUUAUUACUAUCAUUAUUAUUAAUAUUAUUAUUAUUAUUUAAAACUAAAAGUCUGGACUAUGUGGCCUGCGAUAGAAGUCAAAUUUAAAGGCCCUCUUGGUGAAGCAUAGUGGUGGCAGCAUUAUGGUGCAGUCAUGUUUCUAAUUCAAGAAGACAAACAAGUUGGAUUUCUAUGUACUCUAAAGUGUAGCAGCCAUUUUAUUUGUUCCUUUUUUAUCCAGGAAAAAGCAUAAGAGUCAUUCUUUUUUUUUUUUGCAUGGCUCUAAAUAAAGCAAUAAAGUAAACUUCGGUCUUCACUCUUCCUCCAGACUCUGGGACCUUCACUUCCAAAUGAAAUAUGGAAUUUACUUUAAUAUAAAAAGAGGAAAUUUUAACCACUGGACAACAAUCCAGCUAUUUUUCUCCUUAUCCCAAGGCUACAAGCUUCUGACAUCGUCUCUGAUUCAGGAGCGACUCGAUACAAGAAAUGACAUUUGUAGCUCGUUUGUAGCAUUCAGUCUGCAUGCCUUCCACUCACCUUUCUACGAAUAUGUUUAAUAAACUCUACGAACAUCCAGCUUCUAUAGCAGGUUGUUUAGUUUGGUACUAAAAGUUUUAGUACCAAACCUUUUGCCCUUGGUACUAAAACCGGCAAAUUUAAACUGGAAAAAUUAGUUUAUAGUUUGUUUUCUUCAGUGCAGUCUGCUCAAUAAUAAACAUAUAUAUUUUUAAUUAAUUAUAUAAAUCUUUACAGAUUCAAAAUAUAAAGUGCCUUAUUAAAAUAAAAAAGAUUAAUUGCCACAUUUUUGGAGGGUCAUUAGUCGUUUUCUAUUUUGUUGGCCAAAUCUUUAACCUUUCUUGGACUGCGGUUACAAUUUCCUGAGACAAUUUGGGUUUUUCAUGAUCUUUACGUCAUAAUCAUCAAAAUGAUAAGAAAUGAAAGGUGUUGAAACAUUUCAUUAUUCGUGUUGUAAUUCUGUGUGAUAUGAUUUUCACUUUUUGAAAUGUGUGACAAAAGCUGUUGAACCUUUAGACAAUAUUACAUUUGGAAAUGUACCUGUAGACUGAAAUAUUAGUUUGGUCUAAUCCAACUUCGACAUGCUCCCUUCAUGGCAUGUAGGAAACUGCUAACUGGGUUCAUUGGGUUCUCAACAGUCCCUUUCUUCUUGCCGCUCUUGCAUUCAGGACACAUCUGUGGUGUCUCCGUAACAGCCUCAGGAUGAGGCACAAGGGUGUGGACCUUUACUGGACUGUGGCAAUCAGGUUGAGAAGAUAAGGAGAAAAAAAAACCCUCUCUGGUCCACCCCAGAUGUCAUCACGGUAUGCUAAUGAGCUGAGGGGGGCAACCUCUUAAGUGCUGGAGCCCAACAGACUGAGCAGUUAGGAGACAUGGACCAGAUGUCAACACUUGUAAUGAAGAAGUCUAAUGACAAGGUGCAAACAGAUUCCAGACGAGCUGCUUGGCUGUUCUGUCUUGUGCCCUGGACAGGAUAUCAUCUUAUACUGUAAGUUUUUUAAAGAGACACUACAGUAUAGAUGAUGUACUAUCCAGGGUAUCAUUCCACCUCCGCCAACGCUGGAGGAGACUUUGGCUGAAACGUCAGGGGGCCGAACACACAGCCGAGGAGGGCAGUUAAACCGUUACCAUUACUGAGUUUUAGUAAUGGUAAGGGUUCUACGGCCUUCGCUCAAUGACAACGAAGGAAAGGACGAGCUGGAGCAUUGUUACAUUUAAACCUAUAAUGUCAAAUAAAAAUUAUGGUUGUCUCCCUUACACGAGUGCCUCUUUAUUUGUAGAAUCUGCUCUUAAUGGUUUUGUGUUUACUCAUAACAGGGUUUCUGUAGGUUUAAAAAAUUCAAAUUUAAGACUUUUUUUUUUUACUUUUUAAGAUAUUUUUAAAACAGUUAUGAGUGAAAUGUAUGAAUAUCGUCCAAACGUCAGUAAAAUUUUCACCCACCCAUGACAAGUAUAAAACUAUACAACACAUGCUAGCUAGCUAGAAAAAAAAACAAAAAAUGAACAUAGCUAGCUAGCACGGUUCAACCGUCUUGAGAAUCGCAAUGAAGAGUGCGAUUCAAGCUUUUGCCUGACAGAAAAGUUCAGCAAAAAAACAAAAAAACCCAUAAAAUAUACGCGGUUAAAUAGACAAAAUUUUAAUUUACCAUUAUGAUUAACUUAUCUAAGGCAAAUUUACUUUUUUUUUUAAAAAAUCAGUUACAUAAAUUGUAGACUUUUUAAGAAUGCGCGGACACCCUGCAUAAGAUCUAAAUUAAUUUUUUGGACUGAAGUGGAGUUAGCUUGUCUAAGGCAGCGAUCUUUGCUGUCAAAUCAAGAGGGUAGGUAGCAGCUGUUCGGAGAACAAGGAGCGCUUCGGGGACUGACACAGCUUCUGUCUGUGAGGAAACACUUCCUUUCCUGACAUCUGGACACUUACUAGCUGGUUAUUCAUCAAGACGCCCUGAACUGCUGAGUUAACCCACUGGCAGCGGGAGUGAAUCUAAUCCCCAUUAUCUGACCCACUUUAGCAUCAGGUUAGUGCUCCACUUUCCCCAUCCAUUAAGGAGACAAUGUAGCCCUCGGAGGCAGAGACGGGCUUUAUAGGAGCCAAAAGAACGGAGUGAGCGUUAAAAACACGGAGAAGAAGAAGAAAAAGAGGGAAAGUGAUGGUCGCAGAGAUGGAUGGCUACACUUCAAAGGGCAGCAGAGACGGCUAAAGUGAUGAAGGGAGUGAAGGGAACUGGGUUGGACGGUACAUCAGGGACAUGUGAGUGAACAUGACGGUGCAGCUCUCGCCUUCGGUUUAUCUACAGCGCAGCGUUUGUGCCGCCGAGGGAAGAAAAAGCCCUGAGAGCCAAAGAUAAAAACGUCGGCCUUUUCACAGCCUGCCAAACCCGCUCAGCCAUGAAGGAGCUGUCAAAGUCGUGUCAAAACAUCCAUUUGAUGAGCCGCCGUGUCAUGUUUGCUACCAAAAAGGACGCCCAGAGAACGUGACCUCGUUGUGUGAACUUUCUUGGAUACAGCAAACACCUUUGAGCAACGACAAAAGACUUGU